Molecule: ribosomal RNA, 492 nt
Filed under: uncultured bacterium
Lineage: Bacteria
Description: partial 16S ribosomal RNA
Rfam family: Bacterial small subunit ribosomal RNA
Source: RNAcentral
AGUGAACGCUGGCGGUAGGCCUAACACAUGCAAGUCGAACGGCCGCACAGUAAGAGCUUGCUCUUACGGGUGGCGAGUGGCGGACGGGUGAGGAAUACAUCGGAAUCUACUUUUACGUGGGGGAUAACGUAGGGACACUUCCGCUAAUACCGCAUACGAUCUACGGGUGAAAGCAGGGGUUCUUCGGACCUUGCGCGAUUCAAUGAGCUGAUGCCGGAUUAGCUAGUUGGCGGGGUAAAGGCCCACCAAGGCGACGAUCCGUAGCUGGUCUGAGAGGAUGAUCAGCCACACUGGAACUGAGACACGGUCCAGACUCCUACGGGAGGCAGCAGUGGGGAAUAUUGGACAAUGGGCGCAAGCCUGAUCCAGCCAUGCCGCGUGGGUGAAGAAGGCCUUCGGGUUGUAAAGCCCUUUUGUUGGGAAAGAAAAGCAGCAGGUUAAUACCCCGCUGUUCUGACGGUACCCAAAGAAUAAGCACCGGCUAACUUCGUG